This 498-nucleotide ribosomal RNA is filed under the name uncultured bacterium. Its description in RNAcentral is "partial 16S ribosomal RNA". It matches the Rfam family "Bacterial small subunit ribosomal RNA", at positions 28 to 507 of the family's 1533-position model. The record is from RNAcentral.
GACGAACGCUGGCGGCGUGCCUAAUACAUGCAAGUUGAGCGCUGAAGGUUGGUACUUGUCCCAACUGGAUGAGCAGCGAACGGGGUGAGUAACGCGUGGGGAAUCUGCCUUUGAGCGGGGGACAACAUUUGGAAACGAAUGCUAAUACCGCAUAAAAACUUUAAACACAAGUUUUAAGUUUGAAAGAUGCAAUUGCAUCACUCAAAGAUGAUCCCGCGUUGUAUUAGCUAGUUGGUGAGGUAAAGGCUCACCAAGGCGAUGAUACAUAGCCGACCUGAGAGGGUGAUCGGCCACAUUGGGACUGAGACACGGCCCAAACUCCUACGGGAGGCAGCAGUAGGGAAUCUUCGGCAAUGGACGAAAGUCUGACCGAGCAACGCCGCGUGAGUGAAGAAGGUUUUCGGAUCGUAAAACUCUGUUGGUAGAGAAGAACGUUGGUGAGAGUGGAAAGCUCAUCAAGUGACGGUAACUACCCAGAAAGGGACGGCUAACUACGUG